AAGCGUACACGGUGGAUGCCCUGGCAGUCAGAGGCGAUGAAGGACGUGCUAAUCUGCGAAAAGCGCCGGCGAGGUGAUAUGAACCUUUGACCCGGCGAUGUCCGAAUGGGGAAACCCAGUGUGUUCCGACACACUAUCGUUAACUGAAUACAUAGGUUAACGAGGCGAACCGGGGGAACUGAAACAUCUAAGUACCCCGAGGAAAAGAAAUCAACCGAGAUUCCCCCAGUAGCGGCGAGCGAACGGGGAGCAGCCCAGAGUCUGAAUCAGCUUGUGUGUUAGUGGAAGCGUCUGGAAAGUCGCACGGUACAGGGUGACAGUCCCGUACACGAAAACGCACAGGUUGUGAACUCGAAGAGUAGGGCGGGACACGUGGUAUCCUGUCUGAAUAUGGGGGGACCAUCCUCCAAGGCUAAAUACUCCUGACUGACCGAUAGUGAACCAGUACCGUGAGGGAAAGGCGAAAAGAACCCCGGCGAGGGGAGUGAAAAAGAACCUGAAACCGUGUACGUACAAGCAGUGGGAGCACCUUCGUGGUGUGACUGCGUACCUUUUGUAUAAUGGGUCAGCGACUUAUAUUCUGUAGCAAGGUUAACCGUAUAGGGGAGCCGAAGGGAAACCGAGUCUUAACUGGGCGUUAAGUUGCAGGGUAUAGACCCGAAACCCGGUGAUCUAGCCAUGGGCAGGUUGAAGGUUGGGUAACACUAACUGGAGGACCGAACCGACUAAUGUUGAAAAAUUAGCGGAUGACUUGUGGCUGGGGGUGAAAGGCCAAUCAAACCGGGAGAUAGCUGGUUCUCCCCGAAAGCUAUUUAGGUAGCGCCUCGUGAACUCAUCUUCGGGGGUAGAGCACUGUUUCGGCUAGGGGGCCAUCCCGGCUUACCAACCCGAUGCAAACUACGAAUACCGAAGAAUGUUAUCACGGGAGACACACGGCGGGUGCUAACGUCCGUCGUGAAGAGGGAAACAACCCAGACCGCCAGCUAAGGUCCCAAAGUCAUGGUUAAGUGGGAAACGAUGUGGGAAGGCACAGACAGCCAGGAUGUUGGCUUAGAAGCAGCCAUCAUUUAAAGAAAGCGUAAUAGCUCACUGGUCGAGUCGGCCUGCGCGGAAGAUGUAACGGGGCUAAACCAUGCACCGAAGCUGCGGCAGCGACGCUUAUGCGUUGUUGGGUAGGGGAGCGUUCUGUAAGCCGUUGAAGGUGGCCUGUGAGGGUUGCUGGAGGUAUCAGAAGUGCGAAUGCUGACAUAAGUAACGAUAAAGCGGGUGAAAAGCCCGCUCGCCGGAAGACCAAGGGUUCCUGUCCAACGUUAAUCGGGGCAGGGUGAGUCGACCCCUAAGGCGAGGCCGAAAGGCGUAGUCGAUGGGAAACAGGUUAAUAUUCCUGUACUUGGUGUUACUGCGAAGGGGGGACGGAGAAGGCUAUGUUAGCCGGGCGACGGUUGUCCCGGUUUAAGCAUGUAGGCGGAGGUUCCAGGUAAAUCCGGUACCUUUUAACGCUGAGGUGUGAUGACGAGGCACUACGGUGCUGAAGUAACAAAUGCCCUGCUUCCAGGAAAAGCCUCUAAGCAUCAGGUAACAUCAAAUCGUACCCCAAACCGACACAGGUGGUCAGGUAGAGAAUACCAAGGCGCUUGAGAGAACUCGGGUGAAGGAACUAGGCAAAAUGGUGCCGUAACUUCGGGAGAAGGCACGCUGAUAUGUAGGUGAAGCCCCUGCGGGUGGAGCUGAAAUCAGUCGAAGAUACCAGCUGGCUGCAACUGUUUAUUAAAAACACAGCACUGUGCAAACACGAAAGUGGACGUAUACGGUGUGACGCCUGCCCGGUGCCGGAAGGUUAAUUGAUGGGGUUAGCGGCAACGCGAAGCUCUUGAUCGAAGCCCCGGUAAACGGCGGCCGUAACUAUAACGGUCCUAAGGUAGCGAAAUUCCUUGUCGGGUAAGUUCCGACCUGCACGAAUGGCGUAAUGAUGGCCAGGCUGUCUCCACCCGAGACUCAGUGAAAUUGAACUCGCUGUGAAGAUGCAGUGUACCCGCGGCAAGACGGAAAGACCCCGUGAACCUUUACUAUAGCUUGACACUGAACACUGGUCCUUGAUGUGUAGGAUAGGUGGGAGGCUUUGAAGUGUGGACGCCAGUCUGCAUGGAGCCGUCCUUGAAAUACCACCCUUUAAUGGCUGGUGUUCUAACGUAGACCCGUGAUCCGGGUUGCGGACAGUGUCUGGUGGGUAGUUUGACUGGGGCGGUCUCCUCCCAAAGAGUAACGGAGGAGCACGAAGGUUAGCUAAUCCUGGUCGGACAUCAGGAGGUUAGUGCAAUGGCAUAAGCUAGCUUGACUGCGAGAGUGACGGCUCGAGCAGGUGCGAAAGCAGGUCAUAGUGAUCCGGUGGUUCUGAAUGGAAGGGCCAUCGCUCAACGGAUAAAAGGUACUCCGGGGAUAACAGGCUGAUACCGCCCAAGAGUUCAUAUCGACGGCGGUGUUUGGCACCUCGAUGUCGGCUCAUCACAUCCUGGGGCUGAAGUAGGUCCCAAGGGUAUGGCUGUUCGCCAUUUAAAGUGGUACGCGAGCUGGGUUUAGAACGUCGUGAGACAGUUCGGUCCCUAUCUGCCGUGGGCGCUGGAGAAUUGAGGGGGGCUGCUCCUAGUACGAGAGGACCGGAGUGGACGCAUCACUGGUGUUCGGGUUGUCAUGCCAAUGGCACUGCCCGGUAGCUAAAUGCGGAAAAGAUAAGUGCUGAAAGCAUCUAAGCACGAAACUUGCCCCGAGAUGAGUUCUCCCUGAGACUUUAAGUCUCCUGAAGGAACGUUGAAGACGACGACGUUGAUAGGUCGGGUGUGUAAGCGCAGCGAUGCGUUGAGCUAACCGAUACUAAUGAACCGUGAGGCUUAACCUU
This 2893-nucleotide ribosomal RNA is filed under the name Enterobacter sp. MGH 16. Its description in RNAcentral is "bacterial LSU rRNA". It matches the Rfam family "Bacterial large subunit ribosomal RNA". Lineage: Bacteria; Pseudomonadati; Pseudomonadota; Gammaproteobacteria; Enterobacterales; Enterobacteriaceae. The record is from RNAcentral.